Molecule: ribosomal RNA, 777 nt
Filed under: Triticum aestivum (bread wheat)
Lineage: Eukaryota; Viridiplantae; Streptophyta; Magnoliopsida; Poales; Poaceae
Description: partial small subunit ribosomal RNA
Source: RNAcentral
AUGAGGUGUCCAAGAGCGCGAGCUCUCUGGAAAGCAAUGGCGGAAGACUGGUGCAUCCCGGACGUGGAUCUAUGGCAGAACACUGGUCCAGAAUGGCUCCUUCACCUACUGAACAAGUGCGAGGAGCACGUCCGGCUUCCCAUGCUCAUGACAAUGUGGAGGUGCUGGCACGUCAGAAACGAAAUCACGCACCACAAGCCGGCUCCCCCAAUUGAAGUAUCCAAGAGAUUUUUAUCAAGCUACAUCGACACUAUCUUGUGCCUCCAGCAACAUCCCAAGGCCGACAUGUCAAAGGGCAAGAUGGUAGUCUCCAAGUUUCAGCAACGCCAGGAGAAGCUCAGACCAGCAAGGGCGGCCAGUACCAGACCUCCAGAGCGAUGGCACAAGCCUCCACCAGGCUGGACUAAGUUAAACGUUGAUGGUGCAUAUAUUCAGGCGGAUGGAACAGGUGGCUCGGGCAUGAUCUUGCGCGACGAACAUGGCGUCGUCAUUUUUGCUUCUUGCAGAUUCUUGAGGACGUGUUCAAGUGCACUGGAGGCGGAGAUCGAAGCUAUACGUGAAGGGAUUGCAUUGACUCUGGAGUGGUGUACGCUACCUUUCAUACUUGAAUCUGACUGCUCCACGGCGAUUGAUAUGAUCAAAAGUUCAUAUAUGAACAGAUCUCCAGCGGCGAUGACAGUGGGUGUAAUAAAAAACUUGUUAGUGGAGGGAGGUAGAGAGCAUGUGUUAAUGCAUGUGAGUAGAAACCAAAAUAAUGUCAGCCAUGUUCUUGGGUAG